This 484-nucleotide ribosomal RNA is filed under the name uncultured bacterium. Its description in RNAcentral is "partial 16S ribosomal RNA". It matches the Rfam family "Bacterial small subunit ribosomal RNA", at positions 30 to 507 of the family's 1533-position model. The record is from RNAcentral.
AUUGAACGCUGGCGGCAGGCCUAACACAUGCAAGUCGAGCGGAUGAAGGGAGCUUGCUCCUGGAUUCAGCGGCGGACGGGUGAGUAAUGCCUAGGAAUCUGCCUGGUAGUUUGUGAUAACGUCCGUAAACGGGCGCUAAUACCGCAUACGUCCUGUGGGUGAAAGUGGGGGUUCUUCGGUCCUCUCGCUAUCUGAUGUUCCUAGUUCGGAUUAUCUAGUUGGUGGGGGAAAGUCCUACCAAGGCGACGAUCCGUAACUGAUAUGAGAGGAUGAUCAGUCACAAGGGAACUGAGAAACGGUCCAGACUCCUACGGGAGGCAGCAGUGGGGAAUAUUGGACAAUGGGCGAAAGCCUGAUCAAGCCAAGCCGCGGGUGUGAAGAAGGUCUUCGGAUUGUAAAGCACAUUAAGGUGGGAGGAAGGGAAGUAAGUUAAUACCUAGCUGUAUUGACGUUACCAACAGAAAAAGCACCGGCUAACUUCGUG